CACGGCGCACGGGUGCGUAACACGUGGGCAAUCUGCCCUCGGAUGGGGGAUAACCCCGCGAAAGCGGGGCUAAUACCGCAUGACAUUCCGAAGACUCCGGUCUUUGGACUCAAAGGCCGCAAGGCCGUCUGAGGAGGAGCCCGCGCCCGAUUAGCUAGUUGGUGAGGUAACGGCUCACCAAGGCUUUGAUCGGUAGCCGGUCUGAGAGGAUGGCCGGCCACACUGGAACUGAGACACGGUCCAGACUCCUACGGGAGGCAGCAGUGGGGAAUAUUGCGCAAUGGGCGAAAGCCUGACGCAGCGACGCCGCGUGGGGGAUGAAGCUUCUCGGAGUGUAAACCUCUUUCGACCCGGACGAAUGACCCGCAAGGGUUUGACGGUACGGGUAUAAGAAGCCCCGGCUAACUACGUGCCAGCAGCCGCGGUAAUACGUAGGGGGCCAGCGUUGCUCGGAAUUACUGGGCGUAAAGGGUUCGUAGGUGGUGCGGCAAGUUGGGAGUGAAAUCUCUGGGCUUAACUCAGAGGCUGCUUUCAAAACUGCCGUGCUCGAGUGCGAGAGAGGCCAGUGGAAUUGCAGGUGUAGCGGUGAAAUGCGUAGAUAUCUGCAGGAACACCCGUGGCGAAGGCGGCUGGCUGGAUCGCAACUGACACUGAGGAACGAAAGCUAGGGGAGCAAACAGGAUUAGAUACCCUGGUAGUCCUAGCCCUAAACCAUCAGGACUUGGGGUGGCUCGCGUAGGCGAGUCGUCCCGUAGCUAACGCGUUAAGUCCUGCGCCUGGGGAGUACGGUCGCAAGACUGAAACUCAAAGGAAUUGACGGGGGCCCGCACAAGCGGUGGAACAUGUGGUUCAAUUCGA
This 858-nucleotide ribosomal RNA is filed under the name uncultured bacterium. Its description in RNAcentral is "bacterial SSU rRNA". It matches the Rfam family "Bacterial small subunit ribosomal RNA", at positions 94 to 954 of the family's 1533-position model. The record is from RNAcentral.